Molecule: unclassified non-coding RNA, 5921 nt
Filed under: Daphnia pulex (common water flea)
Lineage: Eukaryota; Metazoa; Arthropoda; Branchiopoda; Diplostraca; Daphniidae
Description: metabotropic glutamate receptor 2-like, transcript variant X5
Source: RNAcentral
CAAGUUCUUUUUGUUUUGUUUCGUGUAGUAUCUAUCGAGAUAAGUCCAUCAAAGUUGAAUGCGAGAGCCUUUUGCAACGAAUCAAAAUCAACAAGACGUGGAAAGAAAAAGAAGAAGAUGUCGGUUGAAGAGAAGAUAAGCUCGACUCCAUUGUAAACUAAUACAUGGCGAGGAUUUUGCAUUCUCGGCUCGUUAAACCAGAUCAACAAUGAUGUACUAGUCUGCAGAUAAUAUUCGUGAUGCUGAAAGGGAAGACAAAAAGCUUUGACAGCAAGAGGGGAAAAAGGCAUUUCAAGAAGCGAGUAUAUUUAUAGACACCCAGCAUGAAGAAUCCUAUUGGUGAAUUGAUACUCAACUUCAUCGGUAUAGAUAAAUUGAUUUGAUGAAAUGGAGAAGAGUGCUGCAUCUUUCCUCCCUCUUCUCCUUUGAAUGAAAACUAAAAAGUGUUUUUUAGUCGAACUAAUGAGAUGAAAACUUUGUAUCAUUGCAGGAAACGUUUACUGGCAGAACAAAAAGCCCAGUUCAGUGAAAAGCCAUUUUGCCAUCUCAUAGACAUGCCAUCUAUAUACUUGGAAUUAUUGGCGAAAUAAAUGUGUAGGAGUCACUUUCUUCCUUCCACGUCGCAUCAAGUUAAGAAGACGGAGCUGUUGCUGCUUGUCGCUACGGUUCCAUUCAAUUACGACGCCAUUAGCAUUCGACUCGGGCGGCGCAAAGGUAUAGGCAGUGAUUUUUUCAACAUCUCCGACGACGUGCUUUGCAGCUCCUUAUCAAAAGAGUUGCCCUGGGCGACCCGCGUUCAGCCUGGCAGCAGCCUAAUAAGCCUCCUUGAGCUCGAGUGGAAAUUUAGCCGGCCUCUUUCUAGCUCUUUGGCUCCUUAUUUAUUGGCGAUGGAAGCAAAUAAAAGUAGGAAGAAAUUCCCUUCCAACCGCCAGCGCAGAGCGCGGAGCCUUGAAGGAUCGACGGUAUACGAGUUGGAAAAGGCCAUCACCAUCGGCCAUUACGACGGCAGGAUGUCGGUCGAGAGGAAAUGGGAAACCCUAUUACACACACUAGGAAACCAUCGGAAUGACGCUGGGGGAUGGUCAACGUCGGGCAUAUCGAAUCUCGUCCAGCUCCUCUUUGAUCCGCUUCUCCGCAUCCCCACGAUUGACGUGAGGAACGAGCGGGAGCAAAAAUUUUGAUUUUCCCGUGUCGUCGAGGUGUUUGUUCUUCCUACACAUCGUUCCUGUCGGGAUUCUCACACUCGGCGGAAGGAAAGACAACAACAACCCCCCAAAAUAAAAAUGAAGAAAAUGGCAGCGCCGGCGCAGUUGACAUUACUCCUCCUCCCUUUCCCUUUGGGGUUGGAAGUUUGUAUCUGGCUGGUUCUUCUUCUUCUUCUUUUCUCUCGGCGACGAUGAUGGUGAUAUCCCCGUCCACACACACACACGGGAAAAGAGAAAAGAAACGGUCGGGUAGGAGAGGCUGAGAGGAGCGCGCAGCAUCCCAGUCCCGGAAUAUCCGCGACUGCACGCACCUUGCGAGCGGGUAGUCGGUUGGCGUAAGGUUAGUGGUUUGGUGCUGGCUGGGCUGGUUGCGAGAGAGAGAGUUGAAGCGGAUGACCGGACAAGUGGAGACAUCCGGAGAACAAGAUCCUCGUCGCUGCCACCAGCCAUGAAGAAGAAAUUAUUGUGUCGCUCCUGGCGAUGGCUGAGGCUGUCGGCCGCCGUGUUUUUCGUGAUGGUGACGGCCGCCUCCGGCCAGUUGGCCUUCACUUUCCAGCAGAACCACCCGCCGCAGCCGCAGCAGCCGGAGCGGGAGAGCGAGUACGCCCACCACCUGAUCCGCAUUCCGGGCGACAUUGUCUUUGGCGGAUUGUUUCCCAUGCACGAGCACCUGGUGCUGACGGACCACGGCGGCGGAGGAGGAGGAGCGGCUGGCGCGGCUGCCGGACUCGGCGGCGGUGGCCUGGAAUUCCCCUGCGGAGCCAUCAAGGAGGAGAAGGGCAUCCAGCGACUGGAAGCCAUGCUCUACGCCCUGGAUCUCAUCAACGACGACCCGCACAUCCUGCCCAACAUCACCAUCGGCGCCGUCAUCCUCGACACUUGCUCCAGCGACACUCACGCCCUCGACCAGUCGAUGGAAUUCGUCCGAUCCUACAUGAACAAGGACGCGUCCGAGUACCAGUGCGAAUCGGGAGACGCUCCGCGCUACGUGCCCCACAAGCCCAUCACGGGCGUGAUUGGUGCCAGUUUCUCGACAGAGUCCAUCAUGGUGGCCAACAUCCUCCGCCUCUUCAAGAUUCCGCAAAUCAGCUACGCUUCAACUAGCGCCGAACUGUCUGACAAGUCGCGUUUCGAGUAUUUCAGCCGCGUCGUCCCGCCCGAUAACUUCCAGGCCCAGGCCCUUGUGGAAAUGGUCCGCCAACUCGGCUGGAAGUACGUCUCCACCGUGGCCGUCGAAGGCGACUACGGAGAAAAGGGUAUCGCUUCGUUCGUGACGCUGGCCGAGGCCGCCGGAAUUUGCAUCGCCGUGUCGGAGAAGAUUCUGAGACGGGCGGAAGACGCCGAUUACGAUCGCAUCAUCGAGCGGCUCUCGCAGAAAUCCAGCGCCCGCGGAGUUGUCAUGUUCGCCGACGAGGACGAAACCAGGCGGAUGUUGGCGGCCACGAUGCGUCUGAACAAGACGGGCCAAUUCCUUUGGGUCGGCAGCGACUCGUGGGGAGCUAAAUUGCAUCCGGUGCGCGAUCAAGAGUUUGCAGCCGAAGGAGCCAUUACCAUCCUGCCCAAAAGAUCCUCAUUGGCCGGAUUCGACGCUUAUUUCAAAGCUCUCCGACCCAAGACGGCCAAAGUGUGCGGCAGUGUCGGCGGCGGAUCGGCUAAUCACAACGGAGGCGGAGGUGGUGGCGGACCGGCUGGCGGAUUCGCGUCAGGUGCGGCCAGUGCCAACGCCAGCGGCAACGGCGAGAAUCAAUACUAUCGCAACGCUGUCAAGGGCUCGAGGAUCUACAACUGCCGCAAUCCGUGGUUCCGCCAAUUCUGGGAACAGCAUUUCAAAUGCAGGUUCAAUUCCAGCGCAUCCGCAUCCGGACAUUCUUCGUCAACUUUGCCCGAAUGCAAAGGCGGAGACAAGCUCACCUACUACGAGCAAGAGGGACUGGUGCCUUUUGUCGUGGAUGCCGUUUACGCCAUGGCGCACGCCGUUCACCGGAUGAUCGCCGACGUCUGCGGACACGACGCCCGCGAGCUCUGCGACGAGCUCAAACCGGCGCCCUCCGGCAGAAACUUGCUCAAGUACAUCAGAAACGUCAAUUUUAUCGGUCCUCAGGGUCAGCCGGUCCGGUUCAACAAGGACGGCGACGCCUACGGCAGCUACAGCUUCUAUCAGUAUCAGCGUCACGGCAGCAAGUACGACUACGUGCGCAUCGGUGAUUGGAGCGCUUCGUUGGUCCUCAAUAUGAGUAUGCUGGCCUGGCCCAAUAGCACCAGAGGGACCAUCCCCAGGUCCAUUUGCAGCGACUCGUGCCCCAACGGCUACAUCCGAAACUUCCAGGAUCAAUGCUGCUGGAGUUGCGUGUCGUGUCGCGAGGAUAGCUACUCGUUCAACGACACAUGCGUGGCCUGCGCUCCUGGCUACGCUCCCAAUCGCGACUACAACGGAUGCGAUAAGAUUCCGGCCGAGCAUUUGACCUGGGACAGCCCCUGGGCCAUUGUUCCGCUUGUUUUCACGGCCCUGGGCGUCACGGCCACCCUCUUCACUCUCACCGUCUUCUUGCGUUAUAACAGCACUCCGAUGAUUAUGGCGUCCGGAAGGGAAUUGUGCUACCUGCUGCUGACUGGUAUCCUCCUCUGCUACUUGAUGGCCAUCCCGAUCCUGGCCAAGCCCAACGUGUUCACCUGCAGCCUCCUGCGCGUCGGCCUGGGCUUCGCCCUCUGCCUCUGCUACAGUUCCAUCCUGACCAAGACGAACCGGAUCUCUAGGAUCUUCAACCGCGGGUCCAAGGCCGGCAUCAAGCGGCCGUCGUACACGUCGCCCAAGUCGCAGAUCGUCAUCUGCUGCGGCCUGGCCUCGAUCCAGCUGGGCGGCAGCCUGGUCUGGCUCAUGUUCGAGCGGCCCAGCACCAAGGAGGUGCACCCGCAGCCGCUGACGGCCAUCCUGACGUGCGGCGUCAGCAAUUUGUCGCUGGUUCUCUCGCUCCUCUACAACAUGCUCCUCAUCAUCCUGUGCACUUUCUACGCCUUCAAGACCCGCAAGAUCCCCGAGAACUUUAACGAGGCCAAGUACAUCGGCUUCACCAUGUACAGCACCUGCAUCGUCUGGCUGGCCUUUGUGGCCAUCUACUUUGGCACCUACAACGACUACAAGAUCCAAACGGCCACUCUAUGCGUUUGCGUCAACAUUAGCGCAUCAGUAGCCCUGGGCUGUCUCUUUGUCCCAAAGGUGUACAUCGUCCUCUUCCAGCCGUACAAGAACGUCCGCACGCCCGGAAGCGGGGUUCAACGAAGUGGAGAUCACCGGGGGUUGAACAAGUUCAGCACCAGCGGCGGGGUGAGCGUGGGCGGCGGCGGCGCUGCAACUCCCAGCAACAGCCAGCAGCCGUUGGCCAGCAGCAUUAGCCAUCCGCCGGCGACUUUGAGCAGCGCCACUCAGUCGAUGACGUCGCUCAGUCGCUUUACUAAUCCCACCACACCGACGGCGGCGACGGCCAGCGGUGGUGGCGGUGGAGCUUCUUCUUCCUCCCAUAACAUGGCCAUUUCCACCAUUUCACUGGGCAGCGCCACAGUGGCCGUCCAGGCCAACGGGUCGGACAUGAGUCGAGCCGAGGCCGAACGAGAUUCCAAUAAUCUCAGCUAGGGAAGGUGCGAGGUGCUGCUCUAAAUUCAAAUCAACGGCCAGGAAAAAGUUGAAAAAAUCUCAUCUAUAGACAUUUCAGAUAAACAAAACUUUUGACAUUAUCAGAUGGCGGCACCUCGACACAUUCUCAGCAGCUAAGACUUUUUCUUCUUUUUUUUUUAAAAAUUAUCUUUUAUUCAUUUCGAUUGGUAAUUUGAUCAGAAAUGGGUUUCUUUCCUCUCUCCUCCUGCAUCCGUCCUCGUGCGAUCCCCCACUAUUUUCGGCGUUCAUUUCAAAACCCGGUGAUCUCUCUUAAGUUAACAAUUAAUUUCGAAUUGAUUUUUUGGGUUUUCCAUAUUUAAAAAAGUUUAUGUAAUUGAAGUUUUAAAAAAUAAUAAUAAUGUUGUACAUAAUUAAAGCUGUCGGUAUUGAGGAUUUGACAUGACCUUUGUGGGUGGUUCUGUCUCGGCAAUCGAGUCCCGCAACUCUUUCCCAAAUUUUCAAAAGGACCGCGGAAUUUGUUUUAUUCUCUGAAAUUCAAAUUGAAUAAAAGAAAAAAACAAUUAACGACCGUCCCGGAAGGAAUUGAAAAGGUGUUGCGGGAUGAUUGACUGAGCCCCCUUUGCCGAGACAGGAUCACACAGACAGGAUUGAUUCAAUCAUUUUUUUAAAUUUAAUUUCUGUUUAAACUGAAAAAAAUAUAUCACCGUCAGCCAAAGGGAUAAAAAAUAAAUCAUUCGCUGUUGAUAUGAAAUGAAUUUUAAAAGGGUUCGUUGUUAUUCCUAAAAAAAAAUGAAUCAUUCUUAUGUGUGUUGUUAACUAUCAUCAAUAAGAGAAAAAAUUCCUUGUAUCGAUUUCCCCCACCCACCCUACUCAGCACCGUCUACCCACCCCCAGUUGUAAUAAUGUUAAAUCAAUUCAAUAAUUCAUUUCUCUUUCUCUCUCGUCUUAUUGACUCGGUUAAACUAAAUUGGACUCGCUCGCCGUUGCUUUUGUGUGUGUAAAUAAAAGAGAGGACUUAUCUGGACAAGAUGUAAUCCUGUACUAUAUACAUAUAUAUAUGCUACAUACAUACAAAUAUAAAUUAAUUUCUAUAUUAUAAUAUUUAA